CAUGCAGACCCAUUGGCAUCGCC
RNAcentral lists this non-coding RNA (23 nucleotides) under Arabidopsis thaliana (thale cress). Lineage: Eukaryota; Viridiplantae; Streptophyta; Magnoliopsida; Brassicales; Brassicaceae. The record is from RNAcentral.